GAGGUUGAAAGAUCGAAAAAGGCGGCAAAAACAAAACGCACUACAGGUCGAAGUCGUAUGAUGAGUGGUAUAGUCUUAAACCAAUGUUUAAAGACAAACCCCCCGCCCCCAAUAUAUUUUAGGAUGAUGUAGAAGAUGCCCCCCCCCCUGAGAAGUCACAGCAUGUCACUUCAGCAUCCAGCUCUGCAGGAUCAGGUGAUACUGAAAACAAAAUGCAUGGGACACCUUAGAGGCAAGGAAGAAUUUGGUGCAUUCACCUUAUGACAUCCAGUGGAACAGUCACUUUACAAUAGUGC
Molecule: long non-coding RNA, 296 nt
Organism: Oncorhynchus gorbuscha (pink salmon)
Lineage: Eukaryota; Metazoa; Chordata; Actinopteri; Salmoniformes; Salmonidae
Exons: 3
Source: RefSeq, a predicted model, not a curated record